CCCUUAGAUGUUCUGGGCCGCACGCGCGCUACACUGACGAAUGCAACGAGCUUAUAACCUUGGCCGAAAGGUCUGGGUAAUCUCCAAAUUUCGUCGUGAUGGGGAUAGAUUAUUGCAAUUAUUAAUCUUCAACGAGGAAUGCCUAGUAAGCGCAAGUCAUCAGCUUGCGUUGAUUACGUCACUGCCCUUUGUACACACCGCCCGUCGCUCCUACCGAUUGAAUGGUCCGGUGAAGCGUUCGGACCGUGGCCUUUGGACGGUUCGCCGUCUGUUGGCUGCGGGAAGUUCGUUAAACCUUAUCAUUUAGAGGAAGGAGAAGUCGUAACA
This 327-nucleotide ribosomal RNA is filed under the name uncultured eukaryote. RNAcentral's name for it is "partial 18S ribosomal RNA". It matches the Rfam family "Eukaryotic small subunit ribosomal RNA", at positions 1470 to 1796 of the family's 1831-position model. The record is from RNAcentral.